Gadus chalcogrammus (walleye pollock) is the source of this 3487-nucleotide long non-coding RNA. RefSeq lists it as uncharacterized. The transcript has 4 exons. The record is from RefSeq and is a predicted model, not a curated record. NCBI's taxonomy places the organism in Eukaryota, Metazoa, Chordata, Actinopteri, Gadiformes, Gadidae.
GAAUAUUUAGUUGCCGGUAGAUCUGUUCGGGAUUUAGUUGUUGAGCGAACCUUGUAUUGCAACGGAGAUUUGUUAGUGAACGUGUUAUCCCUGUGUAACAGUGUAAAUAAUUACUUUCUUUUAUUUGUUAAAUUCUGUUAAACUUGGGACUCCAACCAAUAUUUUAUAUUUUAUUCUGAAGGUCCACGGCGGAAGUUUGUGUUUGAAAGUUCAGAAGCAACCAAGCUUACGUUGUGGUAAGUCGCCGUUCUGUCCGCUUGUAAAUAAAGUUCACUUAUAAAUGCAAACCAUGUAAAGAACGAUGUUUAAAAUAUAGCAUAACAUGUAAAAUCUAAUGUUACAUGUUGUAAGGCGUUUUGUUGGUUUGUGUGUGAUGUUUGAGGAGUUCUUGAGCACGAGGUUUAUGUGACAUGUGCGCGCUAAUGCGGGCCUCCUCUUUUAUAGUUGUGUGUUGUCCCAUGUUGCAGCUAAUAAACCAGUCCAGUGCUCAACCCAACCUGUCUCCGUGGGUUCAAUUAAGAAGCAGAAGAGCUGCAGUGUACCCAAGGUCACAUCUGCUCUAUAAGGUGUCCGGCCGCCAUCCCCUAUUCACGUGGUUUUGUGUAUUGGAGAACCUGCUCAGCAAGCUGCAGUCUGCAACUUCUGCGGGAGGCAUGUACUGUUGCAUUUCAGCAAAAGCACAAGGGUGAAAGUCUUUGGUCCCCUUCAACUCCUGAGCAACAACAGCAGCAGUGGCAUCUUCCCCUUCUUUCCCCUAAGGCUGUAGCUGCUCCAAACAAAGUUUGAGGCCACAGAGCGCAACACCCUCCUCACACACUCCCCAGGAUUGGACCCCCCAACUAGGCUCAGAUGGGAAAUCUAAGGAAAUCAAACAACCAUGGUUAAGGCAAGUAUUUGCAUUGUAUUUUUCAUGUGGUGUUGGUGGUGUUUUCUUUUGAGGGGGGCGAACCAAAUUAAGGUAUUUGAAGAUGGACUGCUCAUCUCUAACUACUUAGCUAACAACAGGGAACUAAAGAUGAAAAAAGCUCAAUGGCAGGGCCAUGUGGCACACUUGGUGGCAUGUGUACAAUAUAGCCUAAAGUCACUUCACCAUUAUUCGUACAUUUACCAUUUUUUUUGUGAAAUCUCUAUUUUUAAGGUGCUCCUCGAGUUCCUGUAGUUCGGCCUGAGUUUGCGCCUGCAGUAACUCGACACUAGCUUCCCCAGGGUCCCCAUGUCGAUUUGCCCGUAGCAAUAAUAGAGCCUCUCUCUGAUUCUGCUCAACAGUCUCAAGCCUUCGGAGCAGAACCUCCAAUGUCGCUGUAAAAAAAAUAUGUUGAGAUCAGAGGAGUGUAUUUAGUAGUAUUUGGUGUCAUUUGCAUACAGUGCAAUACAGUUCAAUACAUGUAUUACCGUUGAUAUUCUUUGCCCAGAUUGGUAUGGUUUCUCUCUCUCUUCGGUCACCUAAGUAAUGUGUAUAAAGCAUAAUGUGUAGGGUUAGUAUAGACAGAUGACUGUCAUAACCUGUUGAUAAGAGUUACUAGUUUGGUUUUAACCACCCUCUCCACCCGCCACUUUACCGUCCCCAGUAGAGAUAGGCAAUGGCGUUUCAAAUGAAGACGCAAUCGAAUCAUCUGCAGGAAGUACAAAAUAAUAAUUCAAUGUUUUUUUUUUGGUUUCAAACUCUUUGUUGUCUUGGCUCAUAGAAUUACUGUUAUGUCAUCAUCAUUCGUCAUCAUUACCAUACAUAACUUUACCAUCAUUUUCUGUAAAAACGUCUCUUGCCGGUGAAGGAGGGGAGUAAUCUACAGAAAGAACAAGAUAAGAAUUUAGGUUAUGUGUUUUUGUUUCGAAACAUAGUGUCUUCUUGACUUCUAUGCAAUUAUUUGUAUUUGUUUUUAACCAUCAUUCCCUUGCAAAACUCUACCGUCAUCAGUCACAGGGGGUGAAGAUAUUUGUAGUGCGCUACGCCGUGGAAUGGGGGAUUCUAUCUGGGGUGGAGGAGGAAGGGAAGUCCUGAAAUAGGGACCUUGUCCUGCCUUUUUCCCAUUUCGUUUCUUUGUUUUCUUUUCACCUGAACAGAAUUAUAUUAGCCGAAAGUAAAUAACAGUGUUACAUGUUUACACAUUGUUUAGAAUUGCUGCUUGCACUUUUAACACUAAGUUAAUACAGUACACAAGGAUGUGCAGAUAUACCGGUGUGAAUAAAUUUUUGGGGUUUGACUAUGAUGCGCCUCCCUGUGUCCUCAUUUCCUGUCUCCACACAGGACUUUGUCUCCGCCCUCUUGUUCCUCCUGACGGCCUGAUCCCAAUCAUCUAAACAGUCAGGUGGGCCAAAACAAUUAGAAAUUACACUCUUUUAAAUGUGUUGCAUGUCACCACUUGUUAUUUGUCGCCCAUUAACACACCUGUUGAGGAAAAUAUUUUUAUUGGCCUUUUUAGCCAGGUUUUAGGAUCGGGCAAAUCUUUGUCCUUUGCCCUCUGUGUGGGCUUGUGGAGUGGCCAGUAGCUGCAUGUCUUCUGAAAUGGAAAACAAAAUAGUUUUGCAGAACUUGCAUAGAAUUUUUGAAAUGAUUGACAUAAAGGUUUUUCGCAUGUACUUACAUCUCCCUCUUUUAUAAUCCAAUUACUGGCCACUAUGCCAACAGUCCUUUCCCCCAAAAAUUCGACGAUGCUAUACAUUCUGUAAUCAAGAACAGAGAGGUUAAUUUAAUACAGUAAAGAAUAAUUGUGUCUGUACAAGAAAUUGCAAUGAUAAUACACUGAGCAAAAUACAACAUACUGCAAUGUCAUGAAGAAUGGCCAUGAAGAGGAUUUUUUCCCCCACAGGAAUCUUGAUUGCCUUUCUUUUCAGGUUGUCAUUUUGGAUCCAUCUCAAAACGGUGUCAUUGUUCUUGUACUUCAGUACUCCGAUUAAUGUGGAGUCACAAGGGACACUGAAAAGUGGUUCUGGGUGGUGGUAUACACGGCAAAGCUGGCUUCCGUCCCUCUCCUCUAUGACCUCGCAGCAUUCGCGGCGAUUCAAAAUAAAAGAAGAAUUGGACCUCUGCCUACCAUGCUCCAUUGACUGUCCAGCGCAUUCCUCAAGCCUUUUCACCACUUGUGACAGGGGGCAUCUUCCACUCCUUACCAUCCUCUUUAUUUUCUUGAGACAAUUUUCAAAUUUAAAAGCGCUACAAUUGUCCAAUCCUCCAAAGGUCACGGCAUCCUCCACAAUGUGCAACAUUGAGUGCACGUUGUAGACCAGAAACUGGUUACCAUAAAGUUCUCGGCCUCUCUCAACAAAGAAUCGGAGGAGAUCAGCAGCAUAUCUCCAGUGUUGCUCGACCAAUGCUGGACUUACAAGUAUGUUCAUUGCCACACUGAAUGUCAUGAAGUGGCUGAAAAAUUCAUCUUUAAGGACCCCCUUCAGCACAAUCUUUCCUGUAUAUAACAUAAACUGCCUAUGUUCCGUUGCCUUCCAUCUCUCAAGCUCUUUAAGAUCUCACGGUUUGCGAGCGAAGCUGGAA